This is a long non-coding RNA of Vicia villosa (hairy vetch), 2292 nucleotides long. RefSeq lists it as uncharacterized. The record is from RefSeq and is a predicted model, not a curated record. Lineage: Eukaryota; Viridiplantae; Streptophyta; Magnoliopsida; Fabales; Fabaceae. The transcript has 7 exons.
GAAAGGUGGAAACAUUUCAUUCAGCUAUUCCACUCACGACUUUUCUCUCUCCAAAUAACAAAACCUUGUUUCCAAAACCCUUGAUUCAGCUCUCUCAAAACCUUAGAUUCACUCACGCCGUCGAAUACCAAAACACAACCACGAACUCUCUCAAAACCUUCGAUUCACUCUCGCCGUCGAACACUAAAACCCAACCACGAAGUCUUCUCCCUCCGUCAACUUUUCACAAUCGAUUCAUCGAUUCACCGUCGGAAAGAGGAAACAUGAUCGAUUCACUAUCAAUUGUAUCCUAAUUCAGAUUCAAUUCUAAUUCACCACUCGAACAUAAAGAGGAAACACAAAAACAUUAUAGAGAUCAAAACCCAUUCUUCGUCGAACUCAGCACUUCGUCAGCUCACCACCGUCGUAUAUGGUAUGCUUUAAAACACUUGAAGUUGGAUAAAUGAAAGAAAUACUGAGUAUCGCUUUCCUUUUUAAUAAGCUGCAAAGGAGUUCAAAAUUGUGUUAUUAGUCUGGCGCGAAAGAAAAAUCUCGAUCAUCUAGAUGACACCUCUCAAUUUACUCAGGCAGACAGUUCCUUUAAAGGAGAAUCUACUUCGCCCCCACCUAGUGAACAUCGUAAAAGUAAUCAUCACUCCGGGCCAGGUUCACAUACUAAAACACAAUGUUCUAAUUCUGAUGGCUAUAAAGGAGAAUCUGUGGGAGCCAUUGUAGAAAUUUUUUUAGACUUAGUGUUGGCGUGUUCUAUUCUGCUAGUUGCUCUUGUUUUUGUAUCUGAAAAAUAAAAGGGAAAGAAAAAGGUCCAAGAACUUAUAAUGGAAGCCUUCCUCCUGGAGGAAUUGUUAACGUAACUUCUCAGAUGCAGGAGCAGAGGGUGAAAAGUGCUUAUGUUAUUACAGAUCUUAAACCCCGUCCUCCUUCAGAAAACGUGACAAUGGAUAGGAUGCCUGCAAAAAGUGGAUCUGUAAGGCAGAUGAGGUCUCCAAUAAAUUCCCUGUCGUACACGGUUACUUCCCUCUAGAGUGCAACUAAUAGCUUCAGCCAAGAGUUUAUUAUCCGUGAAGGUUCUCUUGGUCGAGUUUACCGGGCUGAAUUUCCAAAUGGGAAGAUAAUGUCCGUUAAGAAGAUUGACAACGCAACACUGUCCUUACAAGAGGAAGGUAAUUUUCUUGAAGCUAUUUCGAAUAUGUCACGCUUGCGGCGUCCAAAUGUUGUUACACUGGCUGGACAUUGUGCAGAACAUGGCCAACGACUUCUAGUUUAUGAACAUAUUGGAAAUGGAAAUUUGCACGACAUGCUCCAUUUUGCUGAAGAUAGCAGUAAAGCUUUACCUUGGAAUGCCUGUGUGCGGAUAGCUCUUGGCAGUGGCACAGCCCGGACCUUAGAGAAAAGAAGAAGCAGUUAUUUUGCCUAGCUAAGUGAUUGUAUUUGAGAGUUCGGCGCUUUUGGUUCGUGAAGUGUGGAUACUACUUGGUCCUGUUUUGUUGUCCUUAUAUUUUUAGGUGUUUUGUUUAGAGAAAAGGAUUGUUUGCUUUAGGAUUGAAGUACUCUUAGUUGGAAUUAAUGCAUGCAUAUACAAAUUUGGCUAUGCAAAUGCCCUCCUUUUUUAGUACAUUAAAAUAUUAUGAUAUUUGUAAACAAGUGGAUUUGUGUACAGCAAAAAAAAUAAAAAUAAAGGUGUAUUAUAAUAGCAUUUCAUAGAGAUUGCUAUUAAUGAAGACAUCCUAUGAUAGCACUUUUAAGAGAAAGGGCUAUCAAACACAUGUCAUAUAUUAGCGCUCUGUUUGAAAGUGCUAUCAAACAUGUGUCAUAUAUUAGCGUUUUGUUUUAGAGUGCUAUCAAAUAUGUGCUAUAUAAUAGCAAUUUUUUUGAAAGUGCUAUCAAACACGGGCCCUAUAAUAGCAUUUUGUUUGAAAGUGCUAUCAAAAUCAAAUAAAAAUGUACUAUAAAGCGCAAAAAAACUCCACUUCAAUAGCGUUUUAGUGAAAAUGCUAUUAAAAACGGGCACAUUAAUAGCGCUUUUAAAGUGCUAUUAAACAAAAUCAUUUACAAUAGCGGCGCAGUUAAUAGCACUUUUAAGUGCUAUCAAAAACAAAAGAAAGUGCUAUUAAAUAGCUUUUAUGGCAUAGUGAAAGUGACAAGCAACAAGGUUUAGAAGAGGAUGUACCCUCCAUAAUAAAGUGUAGUAGACCAUUGAGCCAUGUGACAUUAAACGUAGCGCUUCGUGGGAGGCAACCCACGCUUUUAAAAAUGCAGUUUUCUUUUUGUGUUUGUUUUGUUUGGUUUUCAGGA